GCCUGGGUGGCUUAGUCGGUUGAGCGUCUGACUUUGACUCAGGUCAUGAUCUCAUGGUUCGUGAGUUGGAGCCCUGCAUCAGGCU
Molecule: transfer RNA, 85 nt
Filed under: Felis catus (domestic cat)
Lineage: Eukaryota; Metazoa; Chordata; Mammalia; Carnivora; Felidae
Rfam family: tRNA
About the family: Transfer RNA (tRNA) molecules are approximately 80 nucleotides in length.
Source: Rfam by way of RNAcentral